Molecule: long non-coding RNA, 564 nt
Filed under: Felis catus (domestic cat)
Lineage: Eukaryota; Metazoa; Chordata; Mammalia; Carnivora; Felidae
Description: lncRNA (ENSFCAG00000043052.2)
Source: RNAcentral
ACAAAAGAUCCACCAAGAAGAACACCAAAGAUGCCCACCCACAUCCUUGGGUAGCCAUGCAUAACCUCUGUCCCUGGGAGAGACCUGUAGCCCUAGAAGAUCACCCGGAAGGCGUGAUCCCUUGCACACAAUGAAGCCAGCUCCGGAAGGCGUGAUCCCUUGCACACAAUGAAGCCAGCUCCGCCUGCCAAAGAGAUGUCAGGAACGACAGCUGAAAAGAACGUUUCCGUUUCGGGCCGGGGGCACUGCCGUAUAGCAGUGCCUUGCAGAGAAGAACGUACCAGCUGCCAGAUGUGCUCCACGAGCUGGUGAGCCAAGCCCACUGAGCUGCUGGGAGUGGGGGUGUCUGCCCUUCAGCUGCUCAACUACGCGAGGAAGCGGAGAGGCCGGUCUCCUCCUCUUCGAGCGAUGGCAGGUAUGCCCAGGAUUUAGGGCACAAAGUAGGUGCUCAGUUCAUGGGUAUUGCUCACAACCACAAUAUUAAAAUAAGCUCGCUCGCUCCCCGUUCUUCUCCAGUUGUUUCCUAGUCCUAGUCCGGAACCCCGCAACGUUCCCCGAAUAAAG